CAUGCGGCAGGCUACACAUGCAGUCGAGCGGAACAGGGGAAGCUUGCUUCUCGCUGACGAGCGGCGGACGGGUGAGUAAUGUAUGGGGAUCUGCCCGAGGGAGGGGGAUAACUACUGGAAACGGUGGUUAAUACCGCAUAAUCUCUUAGGAGCAAAGCAGGGGACCUUCCGGCCUUGCGCUGACGGAUGAACCCAUAUGGGAUUAGCUAGUAGGUAAGGUAAUGGCUUACCUAGGCGACGAUCCCUAGCUGGUCUGAAAGGAUGAUCAGCCACACUGGGACUGAGACACGGCCCAGACUCCUACGGGAGGCAGCAGUGGGGAAUAUUGCACAAUGGGCGCAAGCCUGAUGCAUCCAUGCCGCGUGUAUGAAGAAGGCCCUAGGGUUGUAAAGUACUUUCAGUCGGGAGGAAGGCGUUGAUGUUAAUACCAUCAACGAUUGACGUUACCGACAGAAGAAGCACCGGCUAACUCCCUGCCAUCAGCCGCGGUAAUACGGAGGGGGGGAGCGUUAAUCGGAAUUACUGGGCGUAAAGCGCACGCAGGUGGUUAAUUAA
Molecule: ribosomal RNA, 555 nt
Filed under: Providencia stuartii
Lineage: Bacteria; Pseudomonadati; Pseudomonadota; Gammaproteobacteria; Enterobacterales; Morganellaceae
Description: bacterial SSU rRNA
Rfam family: Bacterial small subunit ribosomal RNA
Source: RNAcentral